Molecule: transfer RNA, 72 nt
Filed under: Diaphorina citri (Asian citrus psyllid)
Lineage: Eukaryota; Metazoa; Arthropoda; Insecta; Hemiptera; Psyllidae
Rfam family: tRNA
About the family: Transfer RNA (tRNA) molecules are approximately 80 nucleotides in length. Their secondary structure includes four short double-helical elements and three loops (D, anti-codon, and T loops). Further hydrogen bonds mediate the characteristic L-shaped molecular structure. tRNAs have two regions of fundamental functional importance: the anti-codon, which is responsible for specific mRNA codon recognition, and the 3' end, to which the tRNAs corresponding amino acid is attached (by aminoacyl-tRNA synthetases). tRNAs cope with the degeneracy of the genetic code in two manners: having more than one tRNA (with a specific anti-codon) for a particular amino acid; and 'wobble' base-pairing, i.e. permitting non-standard base-pairing at the 3rd anti-codon position.
Source: Rfam by way of RNAcentral
GCUCCCAUGGCGUAGUGGUCACUGCGCUCGCCUUGCACGCGGGAGACCCGGGUUCGAUUCCCCGCGGGGUCA